This 807-nucleotide ribosomal RNA is filed under the name uncultured Glomus. RNAcentral describes it as "SSU rRNA". It matches the Rfam family "Eukaryotic small subunit ribosomal RNA", at positions 314 to 1114 of the family's 1831-position model. Lineage: Eukaryota; Fungi; Glomeromycota; Glomeromycetes; Glomerales; Glomeraceae. The record is from RNAcentral.
AUCAACUUUCGAUUGGUAGGAUAGAGGCCUACCAUGGUGGUAACGGGUAACGGGGAAUUAGGGUUCGAUUCCGGAGAGGGAGCCUGAGAAACGGCUACCACAUCCAAGGAAGGCAGCAGGCGCGCAAAUUACCCAAUCCCGACACGGGGAGGUAGUGACAAUAAAUAACAAUACGGGGCUCUUUCGGGUCUCGUAAUUGGAAUGAGUACAAUUUAAAUCCCUUAACGAGGAACAAUUGGAGGGCAAGUCUGGUGCCAGCAGCCGCGGUAAUUCCAGCUCCAAUAGCGUAUAUUAAAGUUGUUGCAGUUAAAAAGCUCGUAGUUGAAUUUCGGGAUUGACACAUCGGUCGUGCCUUAAGGGGUAUGAACUGGUGUAGUCAAUUUCUCACCUUCUGGAGAACUGCGAUGCCCUUAAUUGGGUGUCGCGGGGAACCAGGACCUUUACUUUGAAAAAAUUAGAGUGUUUAAAGCAGGCAUUUUGCUUGAAUACAUUAGCAUGGAAUAAUAAAAUAGGACGGCAUGAUUCUAUUUUGUUGGUUUCUAGGAUCACCGUAAUGAUUAAUAGGGAUAGUUGGGGGCAUUAGUAUUCAAUUGUCAGAGGUGAAAUUCUUGGAUUUAUUGAAGACUAACUACUGCGAAAGCAUUUGCCAAGGAUGUUUUCAUUAAUCAAGAACGAAAGUUANGGGAUCGAAGACGAUCAGAUACCGUCGUAGUCUUAACCAUAAACUAUGCCGACUAGGAAUCAGACNAUGUUAAUUUUUUUAAUGACUCGUUUGGCACCUUACGGAAAACCAAAGUGUUUGGGUUC